RNAcentral lists this ribosomal RNA (2257 nucleotides) under Staphylococcus aureus. RNAcentral's name for it is "partial 23S ribosomal RNA". It matches the Rfam family "Bacterial large subunit ribosomal RNA", at positions 1 to 2256 of the family's 2925-position model. The record is from RNAcentral. Lineage: Bacteria; Bacillati; Bacillota; Bacilli; Caryophanales; Staphylococcaceae.
GAUUAAGUUAUUAAGGGCGCACGGUGGAUGCCUUGGCACUAGAAGCCGAUGAAGGACGUUACUAACGACGAUAUGCUUUGGGGAGCUGUAAGUAAGCUUUGAUCCAGAGAUUUCCGAAUGGGGAAACCCAGCAUGAGUUAUGUCAUGUUAUCGAUAUGUGAAUACAUAGCAUAUCAGAAGGCACACCCGGAGAACUGAAACAUCUUAGUACCCGGAGGAAGAGAAAGAAAAUUCGAUUCCCUUAGUAGCGGCGAGCGAAACGGGAAGAGCCCAAACCAACAAGCUUGCUUGUUGGGGUUGUAGGACACUCUAUACGGAGUUACAAAGGACGACAUUAGACGAAUCAUCUGGAAAGAUGAAUCAAAGAAGGUAAUAAUCCUGUAGUCGAAAAUGUUGUCUCUCUUGAGUGGAUCCUGAGUACGACGGAGCACGUGAAAUUCCGUCGGAAUCUGGGAGGACCAUCUCCUAAGGCUAAAUACUCUCUAGUGACCGAUAGUGAACCAGUACCGUGAGGGAAAGGUGAAAAGCACCCCGGAAGGGGAGUGAAAUAGAACCUGAAACCGUGUGCUUACAAGUAGUCAGAGCCCGUUAAUGGGUGAUGGCGUGCCUUUUGUAGAAUGAACCGGCGAGUUACGAUUUGAUGCAAGGUUAAGCAGUAAAUGUGGAGCCGUAGCGAAAGCGAGUCUGAAUAGGGCGUUUAGUAUUUGGUCGUAGACCCGAAACCAGGUGAUCUACCCUUGGUCAGGUUGAAGUUCAGGUAACACUGAAUGGAGGACCGAACCGACUUACGUUGAAAAGUGAGCGGAUGAACUGAGGGUAGCGGAGAAAUUCCAAUCGAACCUGGAGAUAGCUGGUUCUCUCCGAAAUAGCUUUAGGGCUAGCCUCAAGUGAUGAUUAUUGGAGGUAGAGCACUGUUUGGACGAGGGGCCCCUCUCGGGUUACCGAAUUCAGACAAACUCCGAAUGCCAAUUAAUUUAACUUGGGAGUCAGAACAUGGGUGAUAAGGUCCGUGUUCGAAAGGGAAACAGCCCAGACCACCAGCUAAGGUCCCAAAAUAUAUGUUAAGUGGAAAAGGAUGUGGCGUUGCCCAGACAACUAGGAUGUUGGCUUAGAAGCAGCCAUCAUUUAAAGAGUGCGUAAUAGCUCACUAGUCGAGUGACACUGCGCCGAAAAUGUACCGGGGCUAAACAUAUUACCGAAGCUGUGGAUUGUCCUUUGGACAAUGGUAGGAGAGCGUUCUAAGGGCGUUGAAGCAUGAUCGUAAGGACAUGUGGAGCGCUUAGAAGUGAGAAUGCCGGUGUGAGUAGCGAAAGACGGGUGAGAAUCCCGUCCACCGAUUGACUAAGGUUUCCAGAGGAAGGCUCGUCCGCUCUGGGUUAGUCGGGUCCUAAGCUGAGGCCGACAGGCGUAGGCGAUGGAUAACAGGUUGAUAUUCCUGUACCACCUAUAAUCGUUUUAAUCGAUGGGGGGACGCAGUAGGAUAGGCGAAGCGUGCGAUUGGAUUGCACGUCUAAGCAGUAAGGCUGAGUAUUAGGCAAAUCCGGUACUCGUUAAGGCUGAGCUGUGAUGGGGAGAAGACAUUGUGUCUUCGAGUCGUUGAUUUCACACUGCCGAGAAAAGCCUCUAGAUAGAAAAUAGGUGCCCGUACCGCAAACCGACACAGGUAGUCAAGAUGAGAAUUCUAAGGUGAGCGAGCGAACUCUCGUUAAGGAACUCGGCAAAAUGACCCCGUAACUUCGGGAGAAGGGGUGCUCUUUAGGGUUAACGCCCAGAAGAGCCGCAGUGAAUAGGCCCAAGCGACUGUUUAUCAAAAACACAGGUCUCUGCUAAACCGUAAGGUGAUGUAUAGGGGCUGACGCCUGCCCGGUGCUGGAAGGUUAAGAGGAGUGGUUAGCUUCUGCGAAGCUACGAAUCGAAGCCCCAGUAAACGGCGGCCGUAACUAUAACGGUCCUAAGGUAGCGAAAUUCCUUGUCGGGUAAGUUCCGACCCGCACGAAAGGCGUAACGAUUUGGGCACUGUCUCAACGAGAGACUCGGUGAAAUCAUAGUACCUGUGAAGAUGCAGGUUACCCGCGACAGGACGGAAAGACCCCGUGGAGCUUUACUGUAGCCUGAUAUUGAAAUUCGGCACAGCUUGUACAGGAUAGGUAGGAGCCUUUGAAACGUGAGCGCUAGCUUACGUGGAGGCGCUGGUGGGAUACUACCCUAGCUGUGUUGGCUUUCUAACCCGCACCACUUAUCGUGGUGGGAGACAGUG